AUCGCUUCUUGGCCUUUUGGCUAAGAUCAAGUGUAUUAAAAUAUUUAAAUGGGUAAACUGUGUGGUAUCCAAAUUAUAUAUUUCUGUAAAACUAACACAUUAUACCUUGGUACUUGACUCAUUUUAACUAAAAAAUUUGGUCCCACUACUCAUUUGGUACUAUAC
Molecule: small nuclear RNA, 165 nt
Organism: Heterocephalus glaber (naked mole-rat)
Lineage: Eukaryota; Metazoa; Chordata; Mammalia; Rodentia; Bathyergidae
Gene: U2
Rfam family: U2 spliceosomal RNA
About the family: U2 is a small nuclear RNA (snRNA) component of the spliceosome (involved in pre-mRNA splicing). Complementary binding between U2 snRNA (in an area lying towards the 5' end but 3' to hairpin I) and the branchpoint sequence (BPS) of the intron results the bulging out of an unpaired adenosine, on the BPS, which initiates a nucleophilic attack at the intronic 5' splice site, thus starting the first of two transesterification reactions that mediate splicing.
Source: Ensembl